GAUGAACGCUGGCGGCGUGCCUAAUACAUGCAAGUAGAACGCUGAAGGAAGGAGCUUGCUCUUUCCGGAUGAGUUGCGAACGGGUGAGUAACGCGUAGGUAACCUGCCUGGUAGCGGGGGAUAACUAUUGGAAACGAUAGCUAAUACCGCAUAACAGUAGAUGUUGCAUGAUAUCUACUUAAAAGGUGCAAUUGCACCACUACCAGAUGGACCUGCGUUGUAUUAGCUAGUUGGUGAGGUAACGGCUCACCAGGGCGACGAUACAUAGCCGACCUGGAAGGGUGAGCGGCCACACUGGGACUGAGACACGGCCCAGACUCCUACGGGAGGCAGCAGUAGGGAAUCUUCGGCAAUAGACGGAAGUCUGACCGAGCAACGCCGCGUGAGUGAAGAAGGUUUUCGGAUCGUAAAGCUCUGUUGUAAGAGAAGAACGAGUGUGAGAGUGGAAAGUUCACACUGUGACGGUAUCUUACCAGAAAGGGACGGCUAACUACGUG
Molecule: ribosomal RNA, 497 nt
Filed under: uncultured bacterium
Lineage: Bacteria
Description: partial 16S ribosomal RNA
Rfam family: Bacterial small subunit ribosomal RNA
Source: RNAcentral